GCCUGGGUGGCUCAGUCGGUUAAGCGUCCGACUUCGGCUCAGGUCAUGAUCUCACAGUCUGUGGGUUCAAGCCCCACAUCGGGCU
This 85-nucleotide transfer RNA is filed under the name Felis catus (domestic cat). It matches the Rfam family "tRNA". Rfam says of the family: Transfer RNA (tRNA) molecules are approximately 80 nucleotides in length. The record is from Rfam by way of RNAcentral. Lineage: Eukaryota; Metazoa; Chordata; Mammalia; Carnivora; Felidae.